RNAcentral lists this ribosomal RNA (206 nucleotides) under uncultured bacterium. RNAcentral describes it as "partial 16S ribosomal RNA". It matches the Rfam family "Bacterial small subunit ribosomal RNA", at positions 568 to 774 of the family's 1533-position model. The record is from RNAcentral.
CGUGUAGGCGGCUCGGCAAGUCGGGUGUGAAAGCCCUGGGCUUAACCUAGGAAGUGCACUCGAAACUGCCAAGCUUGAGUUCUGGAGAGGAAGGCGGAAUUCUCGGUGUAGAGGUGAAAUUCGUAGAUAUCGAGAGGAACACCGGUGGCGAAGGCGGCCUUCUGGACAGCAACUGACGCUGAGACGCGAAAGCGUGGGAGCAAACA